This 600-nucleotide ribosomal RNA is filed under the name Lactarius dryadophilus. RNAcentral describes it as "eukaryotic LSU rRNA". The stretch from base 234 to 387 matches the Rfam family "5.8S ribosomal RNA". The record is from RNAcentral. Lineage: Eukaryota; Fungi; Basidiomycota; Agaricomycetes; Russulales; Russulaceae.
CAUUAUCGUACAAAAUGUGUGAGGCAUGCGAGGGCUGUCGCUGGCUUUUGACACAAAAGUCGUGCACGCCGGAGUGUGUCCUCUCACAUAAAAUCCAUCUCACCCUUUUGUGCACCACCGCGUGGGCACCCUUCGGGAUCAAACCGAUCCGGGAGGGGGCUUGCGUUUUCAUACAAACCCCCUUUUAAAAAGUGUAGAAUGACCCCAUUUUUGCGAUAACACGCAAUCAAUACAACUUUCAACAACGGAUCUCUUGGCUCUCGCAUCGAUGAAGAACGCAGCGAAAUGCGAUACGUAAUGUGAAUUGCAGAAUUCAGUGAAUCAUCGAAUCUUUGAACGCACCUUGCGCCCCUUGGUAUUCCGAGGGGCACACCCGUUUGAGUGUCGUGAAAAUCUCAACCUCCUCGGUUUCUUCUGGACACCGAAGGAUGCUUGGACUUUGGAGGCCUUUGCUGGCGUCUCGCCAGCUCCUCUCAAAUGAAUUAGCGGGGUCCUCUUUGCCGAUCCUCGACAUGUGAUAAGAUGUUUCCAUGUCUUGGUUUUUGGCUCUGUUGCCUUUGGGACCCGCUUCUAACCGUCUCAUCGAGACAAUGUUUGAGC